This 308-nucleotide unclassified non-coding RNA is filed under the name Hevea brasiliensis (rubber tree). Lineage: Eukaryota; Viridiplantae; Streptophyta; Magnoliopsida; Malpighiales; Euphorbiaceae. The record is from RNAcentral.
UAAAAAGAAAAAUUCAGAACAUAUAGUUGAAGAUUCAACCAGGCUUAACCACCGGUCUCUGCAGUCUUAUCCACAAUAUAAUUCAAGAGUAGAUCAUGUUGAAGUUGAUAAGUCAGUUGAUACCAAUGUAAAACCUCAUCAAGGGAUUGGUCCAGAAAGCUGUGGGGAAAGCAAUAGAAAAGCAUCUGUUGGCAUUUUUCAGCUGAAUGAUAUGAAAAGAGAACAGCUUCCCUCAAAAAAAGGAAGUAAAAAGCUAGCACCUAAUCCAAUAACUGAAGUUACUGAUGCACAGAAGAACCCAGUAUCAG